Molecule: ribosomal RNA, 438 nt
Filed under: uncultured bacterium
Lineage: Bacteria
Description: partial 16S ribosomal RNA
Rfam family: Bacterial small subunit ribosomal RNA
Source: RNAcentral
CUACGGGUGGCAGCAGCGAGGAAUAUUGCACAAUGGGGGGAACCCUGAUGCAGCAACGCCGCGUGGAGGAUGACGCAUUUCGGUGUGUAAACUCCUUUUAUAUGUCAAGAAAAUGACGGUAGCAUAUGAAUAAGCACCGGCUAACUCCGUGCCAGCAGCCGCGGUAAUACGGAGGGUGCAAGCGUUACUCGGAAUCACUGGGCGUAAAGGACGCGUAGGCGGGUUGGAAAGUCAGGUGUGAAAUCCUACAGCUUAACUGUAGAACUGCACUUGAAACUGCUAAUCUAGAGUAUGGGAGGGGAGAUGGAAUUAGUGGUGUAGGAGUAAAAUCCGUAGAUAUCACUAGGAAUACCUAAAGCGAAGGCGAUCUCCUGGAACAUUACUGACGCUAAGGCGUGAAAGCGUGGGGAGCAAACAGGAUUAGAUACCCCGGUAGUC